CCUACAUGGUACAUCCUACUAUUGUCUCUUUUUCAUGUGAUGAGACUGAGGAACCCACCCAUGGUAACACUAAGGCAGUAAAUGGUGGAGCUGCAUCCAAAGCAGCCCGAUGGGGGCAAAAGGGCUUAAGGGAGUCUUUUUAUCUUUUAAUAAUUUAGACUGGCUACAUCAGAAGGAAGGAAGGAAGGAAGGAAGGAAGGAAGGAAGGAAGGAAGGAAGGAAGGAAGGAAGGAAGGAAGGGAGGAUGCGAGGGAAGGAAGUAAUCAGUCUAGAAAUAGCCACCUCAAGAUAGCUGAUUGUCACCAAAACCUUCCUCAAAGUUGUUGCUGGUCCCACAUCAGACAUCAGGGACCGCUGUGUAAAGUGAUCCUUCUGUUAUACCACGUGGAUUUUUUUUUUUUUUUACUUUAAGUUCUGGGAUACAUGUGCAGAACCUGAGGUUUGUUACAUAAGUAUACAUGUGCCAUGCUGGUUUGCUGCACCUAUCAACCUGUCACCUAGGUUUGAAGCCCCACAUGCAUUAGGUAUUUGUCCUAAUGCCCUCCCUCCCCUUGUCCCCCACCCCCUGACAGGCCCUGGUGUGUGAUGGUCCCCUCCCUGUGUCCAUGUAUUCUCAUUGUUCAACUCCCACUUAUGAGUGAGAACAUGUGGUAUUUGGUUUUCUGUUCCUGUGUUAGUUUGCUGAGAAGGAUGGCUUCCAGCUUCAUCCAUGUCCCUGAAAAAGACAUGAUCUCAUUCUUUUUUAUGGCUGCAUUAUACUGCGUGAAAUGUUAAACUGCAGGUUAAAUUGAAACUAAAGACUAAGGUCUUUAUUUCAAACAUGGGAGAGCACCCCACCCUCCCUGCUAAAGGCACUAGUAGGCAAAUUCACAGACACUGAAAGACAGUUCCACAGCAUACAAUUCAUAGCCUUGCCUCCAGCCUGGCCAGACCUGAACGCCCCAUUUCGAGGUGGAGAGGUGGUAAGACUAAAGCUUAGAACAACAGUCAGGCACACCAAAUAGGCCCUGGGUCACUAGAGAGAACACUACUGUAAAUAUUUAUUCAAGUUAACAGAGCUGAACAGCUGUGCUCGUACCACACAGCAAAGCUGCAGUGACUCUCCCAGACACGAGAGGGUGCUGUGCCCACAGCCUGUGCUGUGCCUGUAGCAGAACACGCUUGAUGGAGAAGUUCAAAUAAAUUCCUCUCCCUGCACACCAACUUUCUUUUUCCAUUCUUUUUCUGGCUGAUUCUAAUUACCCUUGCAACUCAGGCUUGUCUCCUGCCUCCUGUCUCUGUAGGAGACAUGCUACCUGAGCACAAAACCAUUUUAACAUCAGCCUGUAGGUUUGUAAAUAUUGCCCUAAGCACACUGUGGAGACUACAAUGUUUUAGAAAGUUAUUACAGCAUGGUUGCUCAAAACCUUGCUUUUCAUGUUUCCUUGCCAUGAUGUUGGCCACAAUCCUCUGUUUGCUUAAUCUUUUUCUGUCUCAGAUACUCUUCCAUUUAUCCUAUUUCUCAUCUACCAAAGUUUCUUAGUUUCUCUGAGAUCCUGAACUUUCACUUUUAUCUCCACAGCUCUUUUUUUUCUCAUUCCCAAAGGUUUUGUCAUCUCAAUCAUAUUAAAGGUUUCCUAAACGAAUUUCUUUCAUUUAUUUAUUUUUUGUAACUCAUCAGCAGUCCCUGAUGUCAGAUGUCACUGCACUCAGGCUACAGUGCAGUGGCACGAUCUCGGCUCACUGCAGCCUCAACCUCCUGAACUCAAGUGAUCCUCCCAUCCUCCCACCUCAGCCUCCCAAGUAGCUGGGAUUACAGGUGCAUGCCACGCUGCGUGGCUAAUUUUUUUUUAUUUUUGGUAGAGACGGAGUUUCACCAUGUUGGCCAGGCUGAUCUCGAACUCCUGGCCUCAAUUGAUCUGCCUGCCUCUGCCUCCCAAAGUGCUGGGAUUACAGGCGUGAGCCACUGUGCCUGGCCGAAUUUCUUAUCUUUUAAUGAGUGACUACAAGAGGACUAAAAGGAAUUGAGUAAUUCUUCUUUACCAUAGUUGUGUGAGUUUUCCAGAAUAUUUCACUUCAAGUCAGAAAUACAUAUCUUAAUCACAUAUAUACUCCUCUCUUUGUGUCCGGAAUUGGUGGGUUCUUGGUCUCACUGACUUCAACAAUGAAGCUGCGGACCCUCGCAUUGAGUGUUACAGUUCCUAAAGGGGGCGUGUCCGGAGUUUGUUCAUUCUGAUGUUCGGAUGUGUUCGGAGUUUCUUCCUUCUGGUGGGUUCGUGGUCUCGCUGGCUCAGCAGUGAAGCUGCGGACCUUCGCGGUGAGUGUUACAGCUCUUAAGCCAGCGUUUCUGCAGUUGUUUGUUCCUCCCGGUGGGUUCGUGGUCUCCCUGGCUUCAGGAGUGAAGCUGUAGACCUUCGCCGUGAGUGUUACAGUUCUUAAAGGCGACGUGUCCGGAGUUUGUUCCUUCUGAUGUUCAGAUGUGUUCGGAGUUUCUUCCUUCUGGUGGGUUCGUGGUCUCGCUGGCUCAGGAGUGAAGCUGCAGACCUUCGCGGUGAGUGUUACAGCUCUUAAGGCGGCGCGUCUGGAGUUGUUCGUUCCUCCCGGUGGGCUCGUGGUCUCGCUGGCUUCAGCAGUGAAGCUGCAGACCUUCACGGUGAGUGUUACAGCUCAUAAAGGCAGUGUGUACCCAAAGAGUGAGCAGUAGCAAAAUGUAUUGCAAAGAGCGAAAGAACAAAGCUUCCACAGUGUGGAAGGGGACCCCAGCGAGUUGCCACUGCUGGCUCAGGCAGCCAGCUUUUAUUCUCUUAUCUGGCCCCACUCACAUCCUGCUGAUUGCUAGAGCCCAGUGGUCUGUUUUGACAGGGUGCUGAUUGGUGCAUUUACAAUCCCUGAGCUAGACACAAAGGUUUUCCACCUCCCCCCCAGAUUAGCUAGAUACAGAGUGUGGAUUGGUGCAUUCAUAAACCCUGAGCUCGACACAGGGUGCUGAUUGGUGUGUUUACAAACCUUGAGCUAAAUACCGAGUGCCGAUUGGUAUAUUUACAAGCUCUGAGCUAGACAUAAAGGUCCUCCAAGUUCCCACUAGACUCAGGAGCCCAGCUGGCUUCACCCAGUGGAUCUCGCACUGGGGCUGCAGGUGGAGCUGCUUGCCAGUCCCGCACCGUGCGCCCACACUCCUCAGCCCUUGGGUGGUCGAUGGGAUUGGGCGCCGUGCAGCAGGGGGCGGCACUCGUCGGGGAGGCUCAGGCUGCACAGGAGCCCACGGAGUCGGGGGAAGGGUCAGGCAUGGCGGGCUGCAGGUCCCGAGCCCUGCCCCGCGGGAAGGCAGCUAAGGCCCGGCGAGAAAUCGAGCGCAGCGCCGGCGGGCCGGCACUGCUGGGGGACCCAGCACACCCUCCGCAGCCGCUGGCCCGGGUGCUAAGCCCCUCAUUGCCCGGGAACCGCAGGGCCGGCCGGCUGCUCUGAGUGCGGGGCCCGCCAAGCCCACGCCUACCCGGAACUCCAGCUGGCCCGCAAGCGCGGCGCGAAGCCCCGGUUUCCGCUCGCGCCUCUCUCUCCACACCUCCCUGCAAGCUGAGGGAGCCGGCUCCGGCCUUGGCCAACCCAGAAAGGGGCUCCCACGGUGCAGUGGUGGGCUGAAGGGCUUCUCAAGUGCCGCCAAAGCGGGAGCCCAGGCAGAGGAGGCGCGGAGAGCGAAGAGGGCUGUGAGGACUGCCAGCACGCUGUCACCUCUCACCUUCUAUCCCCUUCAGCUGCUCCCGCUGCCCUACCAGCCCACUCCUGAAGUAACUCAUGGAAAUACUUCAGGAAGUACUCUCUGCGGGGACAUGGAAUCAUCUCAGAUCCCGCAGGAGGUGGGAAUUGAGGCAUCUGGGAUGACUUCUGAAUUCCUACAAGAAUUACGAGACACUUAGGUUUGGACAUGCUGGGACUGAGGUGUCUUGGGACAUCCAGCAAACUACCUACCAUGCUGUGGAUGGUCCUUAUGGAGAGGCCCAUUUGGUGAAGAGUUGAAGCCUUUGGCCAAAAUCCAGCAAGGACCCAACACCUGCCAAUAACCACUUGAAUGAGGUUUGAAGUGGAUUUUCCAGUCCCAGUUGUGCCUUGGAAUGACUGCACUCCAGCUGACAACUUGACUGCAACCUUACAAAAAGCUGUGAGACAGAAGCAUCCAGCUAGGAUACUCCUGGAUUUCUGACCUUAGAAACUGAAAUAAUAAAUGUUCACUGGGUCAGGUGCGGUGGCUCGUACCUGGAAUCCCAGCACUUUGGGAGGCCAAGGCAGGAGGAUUGCUUGAGCCCAGGAGUUCGAGACCAGCCUGGGCAACACAGUGAGACCUCAUCUCUAUAAUAAAUAAAUAAAUAAAUGUUCAUUGUUUUAAGCUGCUAA
Molecule: long non-coding RNA, 4368 nt
Filed under: Homo sapiens (human)
Lineage: Eukaryota; Metazoa; Chordata; Mammalia; Primates; Hominidae
Description: HSALNT0381068
Source: RNAcentral